Molecule: ribosomal RNA, 465 nt
Filed under: Vreelandella stevensii
Lineage: Bacteria; Pseudomonadati; Pseudomonadota; Gammaproteobacteria; Oceanospirillales; Halomonadaceae
Description: partial 16S ribosomal RNA
Rfam family: Bacterial small subunit ribosomal RNA
Source: RNAcentral
CCUACGGGUGGCUGCAGUGGGGAAUAUUGGACAAUGGGCGAAAGCCUGAUCCAGCCAUGCCGCGUGUGUGAAGAAGGCCUUCGGGUUGUAAAGCACUUUCAGUGGGGAAGAAAGCCUUGGGGCUAAUACCCUCGAGGAAGGACAUCACCCACAGAAGAAGCACCGGCUAACUCCGUGCCAGCAGCUGCGGUAAUACGGAGGGUGCGAGCGUUAAUCGGAAUUACUGGGCGUAAAGCGCGCGUAGGCGGUCUGAUAAGCCGGUUGUGAAAGCCCCGGGCUCAACCUGGGAACGGCAUCCGGAACUGUCAGGCUAGAGUGCAGGAGAGGAAGGUAGAAUUCCCGGUGUAGCAGUGAAAUGCGUAGAGAUCGGGAGGAAUACCAGUGGCGAAGGCGGCCUUCUGGACUGACACUGACGCUGAGGUGCGAAAGCGUGGGUAGCAAACAGGAUUAGAUACCCGAGUAGUC